AUCUUUGUGAAUAUACAAAUAUACACCCACAGGAACUGAGCUGAGACCAGAAAAUGGACACCCACAGGAACAGAAGAGAGGCACAUGGCAAAGCAAAAAAAAACAAAAAAAAAGAAAAAGAAAAUCCAUAUGAACUCCAGUAACAAAAUCUCAGGACUAAGCUUCUUUAACUUUAUUAUCAGGUUUAUUCCUGUCCGAGGGGAAAGCCUUCCAAGAAAAUCCGGUCUGAGAAAAUGCCCAGCUUGAUGUCCAGUCACAGAAAAAAUCUAGGAAGUGCCUGAACUUCUG
Molecule: long non-coding RNA, 288 nt
Filed under: Crocodylus porosus (Australian saltwater crocodile)
Lineage: Eukaryota; Metazoa; Chordata; Crocodylia; Crocodylidae
Description: lncRNA (ENSCPRG00005017182.1)
Source: RNAcentral